This 90-nucleotide transfer RNA is filed under the name Pseudomonadota bacterium. Its description in RNAcentral is "tRNA-Ser". It matches the Rfam family "tRNA". Rfam says of the family: Transfer RNA (tRNA) molecules are approximately 80 nucleotides in length. Their secondary structure includes four short double-helical elements and three loops (D, anti-codon, and T loops). The record is from RNAcentral. Lineage: Bacteria; Pseudomonadati; Pseudomonadota. RNAcentral also lists the same sequence under 2 other names.
GGAGAGGUGGCAGAGCGGUUGAUUGCACCGGUCUUGAAAACCGGCGCCGGGGCAACCCGGCCGUGGGUUCGAAUCCCACCCUCUCCGCCA